Molecule: ribosomal RNA, 579 nt
Filed under: uncultured bacterium
Lineage: Bacteria
Description: partial 16S ribosomal RNA
Rfam family: Bacterial small subunit ribosomal RNA
Source: RNAcentral
UGGGGAAUUUUGGACAAUGGGGGAAACCCUGAUCCAGCCAUCCCGCGUGUGCGAUGAAGGCCUUCGGGUUGUAAAGCACUUUUGGCAGGAAAGAAACGUCGCGGGUUAAUACCCCGCGAAACUGACGGUACCUGCAGAAUAAGCACCGGCUAACUACGUGCCAGCAGCCGCGGUAAUACGUAGGGUGCAAGCGUUAAUCGGAAUUACUGGGCGUAAAGCGUGCGCAGGCGGUUCGGAAAGAAAGAUGUGAAAUCCCAGAGCUUAACUUUGGAACUGCAUUUUUAACUACCGGGCUAGAGUGUGUCAGAGGGAGGUGGAAUUCCGCGUGUAGCAGUGAAAUGCGUAGAUAUGCGGAGGAACACCGAUGGCGAGGGCAGCCUCCUGGGAUAACACUGACGCUCAUGCACGAAAGCGUGGGGAGCAAACAGGAUUAGAUACCCUGGUAGUCCACGCCCUAAACGAUGUCAACUAGCUGUUGGGGCCUUCGGGCCUUGGUAGCGCAGCUAACGCGUGAAGUUGACCGCCUGGGGAGUACGGUCGCAAGAUUAAAACUCAAAUGAAUUGACGGGGUCGAUANCU